AGGGGAUCAAUAUGCAACAGCCUCUCAAGAAGCUAUGUCCUUCAUCUUAUUUCUCAUCAGCAGAUGGGAAAUGAAAAUCUGAUCUGUCAUCAGCUGUACUUCUGCUCAGUGGGCUCGAUGCUGCAAACACUAUUAUUUGGCACUACAUCUCCCUAUUCAUGGACUAGGAAACUUAGAUUCCUAACUGAGGAUUGUGUGCACUGCUCUCAUUUAACUAACUAAAAGGCGCUACUGUACUGUGCGGCACCACUUCUAAGUUGUUCCUGAUUCCAAGUCUGUGUUCCUAAAUCCUAUUAAUGUCAUUACUUGAAUCACUUUUGAAAAGGCAACUUUGUCCCCAGAAACACUGAGGCACUUUUGAAAAUUUCAUCUUUGGAUUGUAGAUCUCAUGAAGUCAAAUGUUCUUAAAAAGAAAAGGAAGAAGGGGAACACUGAACAUUUUGAAAAA
Molecule: long non-coding RNA, 448 nt
Filed under: Struthio camelus australis
Lineage: Eukaryota; Metazoa; Chordata; Aves; Struthioniformes; Struthionidae
Description: lncRNA (ENSSCUG00000016727.1)
Source: RNAcentral